Oncorhynchus keta (chum salmon) is the source of this 1237-nucleotide long non-coding RNA. RefSeq lists it as uncharacterized. The transcript is spliced from 5 exons. NCBI's taxonomy places the organism in Eukaryota, Metazoa, Chordata, Actinopteri, Salmoniformes, Salmonidae. The record is from RefSeq and is a predicted model, not a curated record.
CUAAAUGAGGGACAUUCUGUUCCCAUAGGGCUUCUGCUUCUUGGGAUUGUUUGCAGUUAAGAGAGCCGGUUAAGUGUACAAGAACAUAAGGACAGAAACGGAUUAUAAUAACAUGGCAGCAGCUACAGAACCAAAACAGAAAAGAACACACAUACUAUGAGCAGUCUGGAUGGUACCGUGUGUGUAGUACCCUGUUGUAGAGGUGUGUGCUGUGUUGUACCCUGUUGUAGAGGUGUGUUGUACCCUGUUGUAGAGGUGUGUGCUGUGUUGUACCCUGUUGUAGAGGUGUGUGCUGUGUUGUACCCUGUUGUAGAGGUGUUGUGUUGUACCCUGUUGUAGAGGUGUGUGUUGAGUUUUACUCUGUUGUAGAGGUGUGUGUUGAGUUUUACCCUGUUGUAGAGGUGUGUGUUGUGUUGUACCCUGUUGUAGAGGUGUGUGCUGUGUUGUACCCUGUUGUAGAGGUGUGUUGUACCCUGUUGUAGAGGUGUGUUGUACCCUGUUGUAGAGGUGUGUGCUGUGUUGUACCCUGUUUUAGAGGUGUGUGCUGUGUUGUACCCUGUUGUAGAGGUGUGUGCUGUGUUGUACCCUGUUGUAGAGGUGUGUAGUACCCUGUUGUAGAGGUGUGUGUUGUGUUGUACCCUGUUGUAGAGGUGUGUGCUGUGUUGUACCCUGUUGUAGAGGUGUGUGUUGUGUUGUACCCUGUUGUAGAGGUGUGUAGUACCCUGUUGUAGAGGUGUGUGCUGUGUUGUACCCUGUUGUAGAGGUGUUGUACCCUGUUGUAGAGGUGUGUGCUGUGUUGUACCCUGUUGUAGAGGUGUGUGUUGUGUUGUACCCUGUUGUAGAGGUGUGUUGUACCCUGUUGUAGAGGUGUGUGGUGUGUUGUACCCUGUUGUAGAGGUGUGUGUUGUGUUGUACCCUGUUGUAGAGGUGUGUUGCACCCUGUUGUAGAGGUGUGUGGUGUGUUGUACCCUGUUGUAGAGGUGUGUUGUACCCUGUUGUAGAGGUGUGUUGUACCCUGUUGUAGAGGUGUGUGCUGUGUUGUACCCUGUUGUAGAGGUGUGUGCUGUGUUUUACUCUGUUGUAGAGGUGUGUGUUGAGUUUUACCCUGUUGUAGAGGUGUGUGUUGUGUUGUACCCUGUUGUUGAGGUGUGUUGUACCCUGUUGUACAUUUACAUUUACAUUUAAGUCAUUUAGCAGACGCUCUUAUCCAGAGCCACUUACAAAUUGGUGCAUACAC